GCGGGACCCAUAAGGGCGGUGGCCCGGGGAAAGUGCCUCUGAGACCGGGAGGGCCUUCUCCAGGGUCAGGGCGCUGACAGGGCAGCGUCCGUACCUCAGCGGACAAAGUUGGUUCCUGGGGCAGUCAGUCGGCCAAGGAAGAGAGCCACUGGAUGAGGGUGGCGAGUCCUGAGUGUGGGUCACACGAGGAGAGGAGAGAGUUGGGGAGGGGGUGCAUAUGGCAAGUGUCAAAUAAACUUUAGUUAACAAAUAGCCUGAAAUCCCUCAUCAUCGCUGGGACUCCCUUGCCCUUUUGAAGGGCACCGCUGAAAAGGGGCUCCUGCUGCCCUUCUUGAAACCAGCCUAACCCCGUUCCGCCAGCCCCCUUGCCCCCACACCUAAAAUCAAUUACAAAAUCAAACCCGGGAGGAGAGGCUCACAUCUUGGAGCAGAUACUGGACGCUUCAUCACAUCUCCUUGUCCAGCUGCGGCAGUUUGGAGUGCUUCCUUGCAUUUCUUCCAUCCCUUGCUGGAGCGUCGACAGGGGAAGACUUGACCCCUGGGAAUCCGUGGCACUGUUGGACCACGGUGUUCUUUGGGGUGAAAUAGAUGGAUAGCUGACUAGAAUGGUGUGGUGUUUGAUUUGAAUAACGAGAAAGAAAUCAAGAAUUAGUGAUCAGAAGGCGAAUGUCAAUUGCUGCAGUAGAAAAUCAUGAUUCCUCACUCUGUAUUUUAAUCUGAGCCGGUUCUGAGACCUGGAACCCACUGGUGGAAAGGGAGGCUCAGUCCCUUACAGAAAGGAUCCUACAAUGCCACCAAAUGUACAUUAAAAAAUACUCCUCUAAUCCUUUCCCAAAGGGACCUAGCACCUCUUAACAAAAGUCCCUUACUUUGGAAAAGGGACUAUCCAGACCUUUCAAGAGCUGUUAGAUACAGGAUCUGAGCUGACACAUGUGCAGGGCACAUGAAGCCUCAUGGACCACCCGUCUGAGUAGAGGCUGUGGAAGUCCCAUGGUGAACAGGAUCCUGACCCAAGUCUUGAGGUCACUUCCUUGGUCCUGGUGCAUACUUGGGGUUAUAUUAUAUCUAGUAAUGGGCAGAGCUUGUACUUUGACCCCUGACCUCACAUGGUAUGAAGAGCCACGGGGAAGCCUCUGAAACCCCACCCCCUCCCAUGCUGCAUUCCAUGUCACUCUCAAAGACAUAAAUCUCAUUAUACCCCUGUCAAUUCACCUGAAUGGCCCCUGCAAAAUCCAGGUGGGUUCAAGUAAGUGGUGGCGGGCUCCCACAAAGUAAGCCUUCAUUCGCAGCAGCUGUGUCGGGAGAUAUCGCCAUCCUGGAGCUGAUUAAUGCACCUCUGGCACCUGAUGAUGCAGUUGAUGUGGUGACUAUUCUUCCCCACCACUCAGUUUCCAGUAGUAAGAGUAAAUUUGUAAAAGCAGUUCACUUUUAUAUGGGAAAGACAGCCAAACAUAUUCAUUGUCUUGCUUCAAGGCUGUUUUAACUCCUGUGCUUUCUGUCACAAUGUGAUCCAUUGGGACCUUGACCGUCUGGACGUCCUACAUAACACUGAUGACAUCAUGCUAACCGGACGUGGUUGGGAAGGAAGUGACGAGUGUUCUGCCCACGCAGAUGGGAAGAAAAAUUUAGGUCUGGUUCACAGAUGAGUCAACUUGAUGUGUCUAUGUGAGCUGAAGAUGAACUACUGCUGCACUUCCAUCCCAUUCAGAGUGGCUCUGAAGGACAGUAAUGAGGAGAAUUCCUGCAAAGAGCAGAGCUUCAAGCAAGUACACUUGGAUAUCCACUUUGUAGGGAAGGAGGGGAGUAGACAGAAGAGCGGCCUGGGGAAGAUGUGCACAUGGACUUCCGGGUGGAGACGGAUGUCUUCCAGGGGACCUAGAAAGAGAAGGAGGGGUGUUGGAGACAAGGAGGACUGUAAGAGAAGACGGCCCCAGAGGAGUGGUCACAAGUGUGUAUAUCUUCCUGCCUCGUGGUAACACCCACGGCAAAGGGGUCACUGAGAAACAAAUCGCAUGCGUAGAUGUCAGCCCGCUUCUGUCCUUGUCUACCUUUGUGCUUGUAAGCUCCACAAAGGCCAGAAAAUGUUGGUACCCUAAAGAGUCAAUUACAUAGCUGGCACUCAAGAAACAGUGUUUCCAAUUAAUGGACAGAGCUUCAGGGUUAUCACUUCACGCAAUAUCCAUCAACACCUCCCUCCAGCCUGUGCAAUCUGUACUGUGUACUGCAAGUUCAGUUUUAGCCCAAUCAGCAUCCUCUAUACAGUCACAUCUGGGUCCAGCCUGGAUCAGCCUCCCUUGGGCUCCGGCUUCUGCUCAACGCUGCUCAGCAGUUGGGCAACACUUCCUCCAGCUCUGAUCAGGACCCGUCGGGGAAACAGUUCCUCCAGCCCGAGUCAGCAAGUUUUAGGGAGAAAUCUCCGUGGGCCCAAUCAGCACCCUUUGUGGGACAGCUCCGACCAGUCCUGAUCAGCACCCCGAUGUGGACAGCUCCUCCAGCCCAGCUUCCGUAGGAAUCCCGCAGCCCUCGGCUGGAGACCUCAACGCUUCUGAUUACCCGGGACGCCAGUGCUGCUCCUGGGGCCGUAGCCACCCCUCCACGAGCCCCUGUCUCCUUGUCCCACCUCCCCAGACCAGUUAACCAGAGGUCUGCGGGCCGACGUCUCCAUCGCAGUUUCCUCGUUUAAGCUCUUAGCGCACGAACGGAUCCCUCAUCCCCACCAAUCCGCUUCUCACCUUCCCCCGCCCCGAGGAGACCAAACCGCACACCCGAUCCUUCCCCAACCGAGUCUCUCAGUCAAACCAUCUCGUCUCCACCAACCAGCUUCCC
This is a non-coding RNA of Sus scrofa (pig), 2826 nucleotides long. NCBI's taxonomy places the organism in Eukaryota, Metazoa, Chordata, Mammalia, Artiodactyla, Suidae. The record is from RefSeq and is a predicted model, not a curated record.